ACUCCUACGGGAGGCAGCAGUCGGGAAUUUUGGGCAAUGGGCGAAAGCCUGACCCAGCAACGCCGCGUGAAGGAUGAAGUAUUUCGGUAUGUAAACUUCGAAAGAAUGGGAAGAAUCAAUGACGGUACCAUUUAUAAGCUCCAGCUAACUACGUGCCAGCAGCCGCGGUAAUACGUAGGGAGCAAGCGUUGUUCGGAUUUACUGGGCGUAAAGGGCGCGUAGGCGGCGCGACAAGUCACUUGUGAAAUCUCCGGGCUUAACUCGGAACGGCCAAGUGAAACUGUCAUGCUAGAGUGCAGAAAGGGCAAUCGGAAUUCUUGGUGUAGCGGUGAAAUGCGUAGAUAUCAAGAGGAACACCUGAGGCGAAGGCGGGUUGCUAGGCUGACACUGACGCUGAGGCGCGAAAGCCAGGGGAGCAAACGGGAUUAGAUACCCUGGUAGUC
RNAcentral lists this ribosomal RNA (443 nucleotides) under uncultured bacterium. RNAcentral's name for it is "bacterial SSU rRNA". It matches the Rfam family "Bacterial small subunit ribosomal RNA", at positions 335 to 795 of the family's 1533-position model. The record is from RNAcentral.